GGGAGUGGAGGGUGAGGGAGUUUAAUUGGGGGUAGUGAGUGGGCAGCCACCUCAGAAACUGCACCGAGUUGAAUGAAUGAAUGACCUAAUUCAGGGAGGCUCAAAGAGGGAAGGACUGGAGGUGUGGCCAGGACCGAAGGACUGACAGACAGGCCUCCUCCAUCCCCACAGGUGCUGGAGCAGCGACUGACCCAAGAGAUCAGCACUCUGGAGCAGCAAAGAGCAGCUGCUGUCGGACGGCCGAAGACAGAGUGCGAGAGAGUCGGGGGGACAGUCCCAGGGCUCCCCAGAGGCCCGGGUCGGCAGAGGAGAGGCAGGCACCAGGCGGGCCCGGAGGAGGAGCAUCUGGAGACGCCGGAAUUGCUGCCCCAGGCACCCUGCUAGGCCGUUAGAACGCUCCCCAAGGCCAUCUUCCUUUCGGGCCUACCAAGAAAUAAA
Molecule: long non-coding RNA, 438 nt
Organism: Nannospalax galili (Upper Galilee mountains blind mole rat)
Lineage: Eukaryota; Metazoa; Chordata; Mammalia; Rodentia; Spalacidae
Exons: 3
Source: RefSeq, a predicted model, not a curated record